Molecule: long non-coding RNA, 1358 nt
Organism: Saccostrea cuccullata (small rock oyster)
Lineage: Eukaryota; Metazoa; Mollusca; Bivalvia; Ostreida; Ostreidae
Exons: 3
Source: RefSeq, a predicted model, not a curated record
CCAGCUGUUCUUACGAGAGGUACAUUGUGGGGUAAAAUUAACGUAUUUUCCAGCAGUGUGGGGUUUUUUGGGUACUGUGGGGUUAACCCCAUAAUGAAGAGGUCUAAUUACGUUCAAAAUUACUCUAUGAGGUCGAAAAACCUAAAAUUAGAUUUAACCUCACAAAGACUUUGUCCAAAUUUUGGACAUGUCCUUAGCCCAAAACGCUCAGACAUUCAGAAAUCUGCUGUUUAGAGGAGUUCGGUAAUUGAAUCGAGGAGUUCCGAAUACCUGAGCAUGCGCAUAUAUUUAAAACUAACUGCGCAUGCGCAGAAUACGGAAGUAGCUGUGCGGACAUUUUGUAUUAGCAGUGAGGAAAUUCGGAAACACAAAAAGCAAAUGCAGUAAGUCUUACUAUUUUGUUGCACCACAUUGAAAAAAAGCUUUGUAAGUUGUUUGAUAUGAUUCAUACGUACAUUAUGCAGUUGUAGAAUUUAUUUAAAGUCAAGGAAAGGACACUUGUAGUCCACAUAAACACAUACCGAUUGAAAACGGGCUUUUGUGAAAAAAAAAUUAUAAUGAAUGCACUGAUAGUUCUUUUUUUAAUCAGAGGUCUGCAAUGAAAAUCGACCGAUACCCGGGGGUCGGGCUAGUGGUUUUCUGCAAGAGGGUCGUCCCGUUGGCCAGUAAAAAAUGAUUAUAUUAUUUAUACACGUGCAAUACAUGCAAAGCACACCUGAGUUCAGAUACUGAAAGUGAACAUCAGUGGAACUUUGAUGAUCUAGGCCGCUCUAUUUUUGCAGCAACACCAGCAGGCGUCGGACAUUCAUAAAGUUGAAAGAACAAACCUAUGACUUUCAAGAACACACAAUUUGUGAUCUGAAUAUAGUUCACAAAUUUAAGGAAAGCAACUAUCAAAGACAUCCAGAUUGAUGGUAUACAUGAAGUAUGAAUGAAAGACUUUUCAGAAGAACAAGCACAAUCCCGAUUCAUUCUUGCCAUUGUCUGCUCCAGACGGCGACAUUUAGGACCUGACUUACUUUUCAGAAAAAGAAGAUGAAUCGAUUUUUGAUAGUUGAUCUUAAAAAGAUAACAUUUUCAGGGGUCGUGGAUUGAAUGACAUUUUCUUGCAAUCUCCCAUGCAGAGUUGUCGUUCGUUCCUCUCUCAGACACCUCUGCAAUGGGCUCACGUCAAGAUUUUUGACAUAACGUAUAAAACGUGAUAUUUGAAGAAUUGUUUCAAUUCAAAUCAAUAGUUCUGGAUUGAUUUAGUAAAUGUCUAUCUCAAAAUUCAGACAUAAACAUAGAAAUUGAAUUGUAAUGAAUUAAAACAAACGCACUAUUUCUCGUGUUUAAAACUGUGUAUACGCGAGCCAACG